GAUGAACGCUGGCGGCGUGCCUAAUACAUGCAAGUCGAGCGAACAGAUAAGGAGCUUGCUCCUUUGACGUUAGCGGCGGACGGGUGAGUAACACGUGGGUAACCUACCUAUAAGACUGGAAUAACUCCGGGAAACCGGGGCUAAUGCCGGAUAACAUUUAGAACCGCAUGGUUCUAAAGUGAAAGAUGGUUUUGCUAUCACUUAUAGAUGGACCCGCGCCGUAUUAGCUAGUUGGUAAGGUAACGGCUUACCAAGGCAACGAUACGUAGCCGACCUGAGAGGGUGAUCGGCCACCCUGGAACGGAGACACGGUCCAGACUCCUACGGUAGGCAGCAGUAGGGAAUCUUCCGCAAUGGGCGAAAGCCUGACGGAGCAACGCCGCGUGAGUGAUGAAGAUCUUCGGAUCGUAAAACUCUGUUAUUAGGGAAGAACAAAUGUGUAAGUAACUGUGCACGUCUUGACGGUACCUAAUCAGAAAGCCACGGCUAACUACGUG
This 497-nucleotide ribosomal RNA is filed under the name uncultured bacterium. RNAcentral's name for it is "partial 16S ribosomal RNA". It matches the Rfam family "Bacterial small subunit ribosomal RNA", at positions 28 to 507 of the family's 1533-position model. The record is from RNAcentral.